UGGCUCAGAUUGGACGCUAGCGGGAUGCCUUACACAUGCAAGUCGAACGGCAGCACGGACUUCGCGUCUGGUGGCGAGUGGCGAACGGGUGAGUAUAUGUAUCGGAACGUGCCUAGUAGCGGGGGAUAACUACGCGAAAGCGUAGCUAAUACCGCAUACGCCCUACGGGGGAAAGCAGGGGAUCGCAAGACCUUGCACUAUUGGAGCGGCCGAUAUCGGAUUAGCUAGUUGGUGGGGUAACGGCUCACCAAGGCGACGAUCCGUAGCUGGUUUGAGAGGACGACCAGCCACACUGGGACUGAGACACGGCCCAGACUCCUACGGGAGGCAGCAGUGGGGAAUUUUGGACAAUGGGGGAAACCCUGAUCCAGCCAUCCCGCGUGUGCGAUGAAGGCCUUCGGGUUGUAAAGCACUUUUGGCAGGAAAGAAACGUCAUGGGCUAAUACCCCGUGAAACUGACGGUACCUGCAGAAUAAGCACCGGCUAACUACGUGCCAGCAGCCGCGGUAAUACGUAGGGUGCAAGCGUUAAUCGGAAUUACUGGGCGUAAAGCGUGCGCAGGCGGUUCGGAAAGAAAGAUGUGAAAUCCCAGAGCUUAACUUUGGAACUGCAUUUUUAACUACCGAGCUAGAGUGUGUCAGAGGGAGGUGGAAUUCCGCGUGUAGCAGUGAAAUGCGUAGAUAUGCGGGAGGAACACCGAUGGCGAAGGCAGCCUCCUGGGAUAACACUGACGCUCAUGCACGAAAGCGUGGGGGAGCAAACAGGAUUAGAUACCCUGGUAGUCCACGCCCUAAACGAUGUCAACUAGCUGUUGGGGCCUUCGGGCCUUGGUAGCGCAGCUAACGCGUGAAGUUGACCGCCUGGGGAGUACGGUCGCAAGAUUAAAACUCAAAGGAAUUGACGGGGACCCGCACAAGCGGUGGAUGAUGUGGAUUAAUUCGAUGCAACGCGAAAAACCUUACCUACCCUUGACAUGUCUGGAAUUCCGAAGAGAUUUGGAAGUGCUCGCAAGAGAACCGGAACACAGGUGCUGCAUGGCUGUCGUCAGCUCGUGUCGUGAGAUGUUGGGUUAAGUCCCGCAACGAGCGCAACCCUUGUCAUUAGUUGCUACGAAAGGGCACUCUAAUGAGACUGCCGGUGACAAACCGGAGGAAGGUGGGGAUGACGUCAAGUCCUCAUGGCCCUUAUGGGUAGGGCUUCACACGUCAUACAAUGGCGGGACAGAGGGUCGCCACCCGCGAGGGGGAGCCAAUCCCAGAAACCCGAUCGUAGUCCGGAUCGCAGUCUGCAACUCGACUGCGUGAAGUCGGAAUCGCUAGUAAUCGCGGAUCAGCAUGUCGCGGUGAAUACGUUCCCGGGUCUUGUACACACCGCCCGUCACACCAUGGGAGUGGGUUUUACCAGAAGUAGUUAGCCUAACCGUAAGGGGGGCGAUUACCACGGUAGGAUUCAUGACUGGGGUGAAGU
RNAcentral lists this ribosomal RNA (1467 nucleotides) under uncultured bacterium. RNAcentral's name for it is "16S ribosomal RNA". It matches the Rfam family "Bacterial small subunit ribosomal RNA". The record is from RNAcentral.